GACGAACGCUGGCGGCGUGCUUAACACAUGCAGGUCGAACGGAAAGGCCCUGCUUUUGUGGGGUGCUCGAGUGGCGAACGGGUGAGUAACACGUGAGUAACCUGCCCUUGACUUUGGGAUAACUUCAGGAAACUGGGGCUAAUACCGGAUAGGAGCUCCUGCUGCAUGGUGGGGGUUGGAAAGUUUUGGCGGUUGGGGAUGGACUCGCGGCUUAUCAGCUUGUUGGUGGGGUAGUGGCUUACCAAGGCUUUGACGGGUAGCCGGCCUGAGAGGGUGACCGGCCACAUUGGGACUGAGAUACGGCCCAGACUCCUACGGGAGGCAGCAGUGGGGAAUAUUGCACAAUGGGCGGAAGCCUGAUGCAGCAACGCCGCGUGCGGGAUGACGGCCUUCGGGUUGUAAACCGCUUUCGCCUGUGACGAAGCGUGAGUGACGGUAAUGGGUAAAGAAGCACCGGCUAACUACGUG
RNAcentral lists this ribosomal RNA (468 nucleotides) under uncultured bacterium. RNAcentral describes it as "partial 16S ribosomal RNA". It matches the Rfam family "Bacterial small subunit ribosomal RNA", at positions 28 to 507 of the family's 1533-position model. The record is from RNAcentral.